RNAcentral lists this ribosomal RNA (253 nucleotides) under uncultured bacterium. RNAcentral describes it as "partial 16S ribosomal RNA". It matches the Rfam family "Bacterial small subunit ribosomal RNA", at positions 524 to 776 of the family's 1533-position model. The record is from RNAcentral.
UACGAAGGGGGCUAGCGUUGCUCGGAAUUACUGGGCGUAAAGGGCGCGUAGGCGGCACUGUUAGUCAGGCGUGAAAGUCCUGGGCUCAACCUGGGAACUGCGCUUGAUACGGCAGAGCUAGAGGAUGGAAGAGGCUCGCGGAAUUCCCAGUGUAGAGGUGAAAUUCGUAGAUAUUGGGAAGAACACCGGUGGCGAAGGCGGCCAUCUGGCCCGUGAUUGACGCUGAGGCGCGAAAGCGUGGGGAGCAAACAGG